GUGGGGAAUCUUGCGCAAUGGGCGAAAGCCUGACGCAGCCAUGCCGCGUGAAUGAUGAAGGUCUUAGGAUUGUAAAAUUCUUUCACCGGGGACGAUAAUGACGGUACCCGGAGAAGAAGCUCCGGCUAACUUCGUGCCAGCAGCCGCGGUAAUACGAAGGGGGCUAGCUUUGCUCGGAAUUACUGGGCGUAAAGGGCGCGUAGGCGGACAGCUUAGUCAGAGGUGAAAGCCCAGGGCUCAACCUUGGAAUUGCCUUUGAUACUGGCUGUCUUGAGUUUGGGAGAGGUGAGUGGAACUCCGAGUGUAGAGGUGAAAUUCGUAGAUAUUCGGAAGAACACCAGUGGCGAAGGCGACUCACUGGCCCAAUACUGACGCUGAGGCGCGAAAGCGUGGGGAGCAAACAGGAUUAGAUACCCUGGUAGUCC
RNAcentral lists this ribosomal RNA (425 nucleotides) under uncultured bacterium. RNAcentral describes it as "partial 16S ribosomal RNA". It matches the Rfam family "Bacterial small subunit ribosomal RNA", at positions 354 to 796 of the family's 1533-position model. The record is from RNAcentral.